RNAcentral lists this long non-coding RNA (305 nucleotides) under Eucalyptus grandis. Its description in RNAcentral is "long non-coding RNA (EGRA_LNC003005)". The record is from RNAcentral. Lineage: Eukaryota; Viridiplantae; Streptophyta; Magnoliopsida; Myrtales; Myrtaceae.
GUCGCGACCUACCCUCGGGGGGAGGGAACAGGUUUAGGGGUAUUGCCCAAAGGACGGACCUAAGGCCCAUGAUUGGGCGCAAGCUCUCCCAAGCCCAUACCCCGCGUGACAUUGGGAUAUUUUUUUAUGGAUUUUGCACAAAAGGAGUCGCCACUAGCCUAUUGGGGUCGGCUAGAAACCAAGUGAGGCAUGGGAGCGUGCCUCACUUCCUACGCAACCAGAGAAUCUAGGUUCGGGGACUUGAUUACACUAAUUAACCCAAUUAGUGCCCUUUCGGUACCUAAUCUUGUUCAUUUUAACAAAAU